GGUGAACGCUGGCGGUAGGCCUAACACAUGCAAGUCGAACGGCAGCACAGUAAGAGCUUGCUCUUACGGGUGGCGAGUGGCGGACGGGUGAGGAAUACAUCGGAAUCUACUUUUUCGUGGGGGUUAACGUAGGGAAACUUACGCUAAUACCGCAUACGACUUACGGGUGAAAGCAGGGGAUCUUCGGACCUUGCGCGAUUGAAUGAGCCGAUGUCGGAUUAGCUAGUUGGCGGGGUAAAGGCCCACCAAGGCGACGAUCCGUAGCUGGUCUGAGAGGAUGAUCAGCCACACUGGAACUGAGACACGGUCCAGACUCCUACGGGAGGCAGCAGUGGGGAAUAUUGGACAAUGGGCGCAAGCCUGAUCCAGCCAUACCGCGUGGGUGAAGAAGGCCUUCGGGUUGUAAAGCCCUUUUGUUGGGAAAGAAAAGCAGCAGGUUAAUACCCCGCUGUUCUGACGGUACCCAAAGAAUAAGCACCGGCUAACUUCGUG
This 492-nucleotide ribosomal RNA is filed under the name uncultured bacterium. Its description in RNAcentral is "partial 16S ribosomal RNA". It matches the Rfam family "Bacterial small subunit ribosomal RNA", at positions 28 to 507 of the family's 1533-position model. The record is from RNAcentral.